GAUGAACGCUAGCGGCGUGCCUAAUGCAUGCAAGUCGAACGGGAAGCCUUGAUUUCGGUUGAGGUGGAGAGUGGCGAACGGGUGAGUAACGCGUUGGUGACCUGCCCUUGAGAGGGGGACAACCAGUGGAAACGCUGGCUAAUACCCCAGAUGUUUAAUUGGCUAGAAAGAUUAAACUAAAGCUCCGGCGCUCAAGGAGGGGCCAGCGUCCCAUCAGCUAGUUGGUGCGGUAACGGCGUACCAAGGCGAAGACGGGUAGGGGGCGUGAGAGCGUGGCCCCCCACACUGGUACUGGGACACGGACCAGAUACCUACGGGUAGCAGCAGCAAGGAAUAUUGCGCAAUGGGGGAAACCCUGACGCAGCAACGCCGCGUGGAGGAAGAAGGCCUUCGGGUCGUAAACUCCUUUUCUGAGGGAUGAGGAAGGACAGUACCUCAGGAAUAAGGCCCGGCUAACUACGUGCCAGCCGCCGCCGUAACAC
This 482-nucleotide ribosomal RNA is filed under the name uncultured bacterium. RNAcentral's name for it is "bacterial SSU rRNA". It matches the Rfam family "Bacterial small subunit ribosomal RNA", at positions 28 to 526 of the family's 1533-position model. The record is from RNAcentral.